GGACUUCGACUGCAUCUCGAAUUCCUGAUCUGAAUCGGAUUAUAAGACAGAAACUGCGAUUACCGAAGACCCGUUUGCUCUCCUCUUCCUCUUAUCCUUUAGCUCUUCUUCGUCUGUUUGGUUCGAGGGACUGUGUUCGUAGAAAUGGAAGAGAGAAUUAGCAUAAGAAGAGAUUUGUAUUGGCGAUGGUGGGAGAAUUGAAAUAGCAUGAUGAUUGACGUUAGUGUGAUGGGUAGGAGAAGGAUUGUUCAGAUCCGAAACUCCUCUGCCGUUAGACUGCCAAAAAUUUGAUGUUUAGAUCUGAGAGACAUGCAACGCUUCCUUCACUGCACUCACCUCACUAGAUAAUCUUUUGUCAAGCGGUGUCCUCACCUCCUCUACCGAUUUAAUUGCUUCAAUCCAAUCGCUCCUUGUUGCAUCAACUCACGUUGGAAUUGGAAUCGAUGCAUCAGCGAGGAGACUUCCACUUCAUUGGAAGACAGAUUGGUGUCUCCGGCCCCGUCGCCGCUAGGUUGGAGUUGGAUCUUAGCCUCCGAUUCCAGGUGAAAUACCUCCUCCAGCAAGGGAAAAGAGAAUAUAAGACAUCAUGCCACUGAAUCAUAGGGAAAUUUUUCUAUAUGUAGAAGAUCAACAUGGGCCUAUUGAUGAAGUGAGACUAUUAGUGGCUUAGAUUUUAAACUCAGGUGCCCCACGACGAUGGCUUUAGAUGAUGAAGAAGAUAGAAAGAAAUUU
This 732-nucleotide long non-coding RNA is filed under the name Linum usitatissimum (flax). RNAcentral describes it as "long non-coding RNA (LUSI_LNC002526)". The record is from RNAcentral. Lineage: Eukaryota; Viridiplantae; Streptophyta; Magnoliopsida; Malpighiales; Linaceae.